AUUGAACGCUGGCGGCAGGCCUAACACAUGCAAGUCGAACGGUAACAGGAAGAAGCUUGCUUCUUUGCUGACGAGUGGCGGACGGGUGAGAAAUGUCUGGGAAACUGCCUGAUGGAGGGGGAUAACUACUGGAAACGGUAGCUAAUACCGCAUAACGUCGCAAGACCAAAGAGGGGGACCUUCGGGCCUCUUGCCAUCGGAUGUGCCCAGAUGGGAUUAGCUUGUUGGUGGGGUAACGGCUCACCAAGGCGACGAUCCCUAGCUGGUCUGAGAGGAUGACCAGCCACACUGGAACUGAGACACGGUCCAGACUCCUACGGGAGGCAGCAGUGGGGAAUAUUGCACAAUGGGCGCAAGCCUGAUGCAGCCAUGCCGCGUGUAUGAAGAAGGCCUUCGGGUUGUAAAGUACUUUCAGCGGGGAGGAAGGGAGUAAAGUUAAUACCUUUGCUCAUUGACGUUACCCGCAGAAGAAGCACCGGCUAACUCCGUG
RNAcentral lists this ribosomal RNA (490 nucleotides) under uncultured bacterium. RNAcentral's name for it is "partial 16S ribosomal RNA". It matches the Rfam family "Bacterial small subunit ribosomal RNA", at positions 30 to 507 of the family's 1533-position model. The record is from RNAcentral.